GAGACAGUAAACAGUUGCCCAGGGACCCACAGCCUUGCAGGCAAGGAAAGAAAUGCAGACCAAGGCCCUCCCUGGUGCCCGCCGGUCAGUCGGAGGAAAACAUAGAUCCCAGAGUGCGCAGGGGCAGGAGAGCAGGCUGACUUUAGGAAAUUUCACCUCCAGGCCAGAGCGGGGCCAGCAUAGCCUCAGGGUCAGCAGAGUUCCUCCCGUCACUGAGAAGUGGGAGGAGGAAGAAAUAAGAAGCCCAGAUGCCCCGUGCGGCGUCCUGAGUGCCCACACGGUGGGAAGUGCUUAACUCUGUUUCCACCAUUUGUAGAUUGUGUCCUUGCUGAGUGACCAGGUGACAUAUCGAGUCCAGCCUUUCCUCCUCUGCCACUCAGGUGGAAGGUGGCAGGGCUGGGUUAAAGCCCAGGCAGCCCCACCUGCAGCCUGGCGCUCCUCCCUCCCCGCUGUUCCUGGGUAACCUGAAGGAGUUGUCCCCUGAAGAGGAGGUGACAGCAGCCCUGUGGGUGUGUGGCUUCUAGGAUGCAACCCCAGAGGUUGCCUGGCAGUGAAUGCAGGCCGGCCGCCCAGCAGGCAUGCCCCGGCCUGUGGUCUGGAAUGUGGACUCGCCACGGGAGACCUGCCAUUGGUGGCCUGGCCAGACCCGGCUCUGGACCUGGGCAGUGCGCUCUCUCUUUGCUCAAGGACUGAGUCCUCAGCCUGCGGCUGCCUGAAUGGUAGCUGGCCGCUGGCCUGAUGCCCCAGCUCUCAGGGCUUCCCUCUGGCCAGAGUCCCAGGGCCCUUGAGGGGGUGAGUGCUGGAGGGAGAGAGGCCGCUCCGGCACCGAGGGAGGCCCGGAGGCCGCAGCAGUGCAUUCUGAAGAUGCCCUACUUGGGCCAGAGCUUGGGGAUCGCUGGCUCCAGAGAAGGGGCAGGAGGGGACCACCCUGUGGCACAAAGGCCGAUGGGAACUCUCAGGGGCACGUGACUCUGGGUUUUAGGAACGCACCUCCCCAUCUCUGAAGGACAGGGCUGGCCCCCAGGCUGGCAGGGACCCCAGGAUGCUCCCGCGGGACCAGGAGAAGCUGCUUCUUCCAAUGACUUCGCUAUUCUUGGGCUGGGCCAGCUUGGCGGCCAGGGUCUUUGGUACUGGC
RNAcentral lists this long non-coding RNA (1135 nucleotides) under Marmota monax (woodchuck). Lineage: Eukaryota; Metazoa; Chordata; Mammalia; Rodentia; Sciuridae. The record is from RNAcentral.